UCAUUUGUCUAUCGUUGAUGGGGUGGUCGGCUUGGCUGCCUAUGCAGAAAUCGAUUCCGAAUUGUGCCCAAGGAUGUCCUUUCGUGUAUUGAUGGACAAUAUCCCGAUAAGAUUUCGUUUCGCCAUUUUCGGUGUGUGCAUUGCUGAAGAGCAAUUGGCUACCGCUUUUUUGCAGGCUCUCUUCCACCUUGUCCCGUAUUCUUCGUGCCGAGGCGUCCCAUAUCGGCUUUACGUCGCAGUUCACCAUCUACGAUUCGGCGGACAGCAAGAGCCUGAUUCGUUCCAUCAUCAAAGAGAUGGGGCUUGACGAGAAGACCUAUAAGCCCGGCAGUGUGCAGGCACGCAUCUCCAAUGCGAAGAACCACCUGGUGUCUCCUUCGGGAUACGCAGCCAACAAGGAGGCGUACGAGGGCGAUCUUGCCGCAAAGAUGCCUGAAGCAUUAAGUAUUCCACCUGGGGAGUACGCCGGCAACGGUGAAACUCAAAGGAAUUGACGGGGGCCCGCACAAGCGGAGGAACAUGUGGUUUAAUUCGAUGAUACGCGAGGAACCUUACCCGGGCUUAAAUUGCAGUGGAAUGAUGUGGAAACAUGUCAGUGAGCAAUCACCGCUGUGAAGGUGCUGCAUGGUUGUCGUCAGCUCGUGCCGUGAGGUGUCGGCUUAAGUGCCAUAACGAGCGCAACCCUUAUCUUCAGUUACUAACAGGUCAUGCUGAGGACUCUGGAGAGACUGCCGUCGUAAGAUGUGAGGAAGGUGGGGAUGACGUCAAAUCAGCACGGCCCUUACGUCCGGGGCUACACACGUGUUACAAUGGGGGUACAGAAGGCAGCUAGCGGGUGACCGUAUGCUAAUCCCAAAAUCCUCUCUCAGUUCGGAUCGAAGUCUGCAACCCGACUUCGUGAAGCUGGAUUCGCUAGUAAUCGCGCAUCAGCCACGGCGCGGUGAAUACGUUCCCGGGCCUUGUACACACCGCCCGUCAAGCCAUGGGAGCCGGGGGUACCUGAAGUACGUAACCGCAAGGAUCGUCCUAGGGUAAAACUGGUGACUGGGGCUAAGUCGUAACAAGGUAGCCGUACCGGAAGGUGCGGCUG
This 1090-nucleotide ribosomal RNA is filed under the name Bacteroides fragilis. RNAcentral describes it as "bacterial SSU rRNA". The stretch from base 455 to 1090 matches the Rfam family "Bacterial small subunit ribosomal RNA", at positions 874 to 1520 of the family's 1533-position model. Lineage: Bacteria; Pseudomonadati; Bacteroidota; Bacteroidia; Bacteroidales; Bacteroidaceae. The record is from RNAcentral.